GGUGAGAUAUGUUGUAAUAGCCAUUAUGAGUAAAAGAAAUAAUACAGUAUCAUGAAAUAUAUCAUGCGACAAGAAAGAACAUACACAUAGAAUGAUAAUCCAAUUCGGUUAAACAACCUACGUCUGGGGGCGAAAGUUAUCCACUAUAUGAAGUUAUCACCAACGGUAGACAAUUGAAAGCUAGACAACGACUAUCUUCCUAGGCGCGCCUAAUCCCUUGAGAAACAAGAACCAAAUAAAGAAUAGUUUAUAACUCUUUUACAAUAUACGCUCAAGUGUAUGCCUCACAAACUCUCUUCUGCUAGAACAAAAAAAAGUAAUAUAUCAGAAACUAUACUACAGACUGCAACAAGUCCGAAUGAACACCUAACAUGAACAAGAUUUUUUGACUACAUGGCGAGAGCAAUUAAG
RNAcentral lists this long non-coding RNA (411 nucleotides) under Salvia miltiorrhiza (redroot sage). RNAcentral describes it as "long non-coding RNA (SMIL_LNC000098)". The record is from RNAcentral. Lineage: Eukaryota; Viridiplantae; Streptophyta; Magnoliopsida; Lamiales; Lamiaceae.